This 69-nucleotide transfer RNA is filed under the name Callistomys pictus (painted tree-rat). RNAcentral describes it as "tRNA-Ser". It matches the Rfam family "tRNA". Rfam says of the family: Transfer RNA (tRNA) molecules are approximately 80 nucleotides in length. Their secondary structure includes four short double-helical elements and three loops (D, anti-codon, and T loops). Further hydrogen bonds mediate the characteristic L-shaped molecular structure. tRNAs have two regions of fundamental functional importance: the anti-codon, which is responsible for specific mRNA codon recognition, and the 3' end, to which the tRNAs corresponding amino acid is attached (by aminoacyl-tRNA synthetases). tRNAs cope with the degeneracy of the genetic code in two manners: having more than one tRNA (with a specific anti-codon) for a particular amino acid; and 'wobble' base-pairing, i.e. permitting non-standard base-pairing at the 3rd anti-codon position. The record is from RNAcentral. Lineage: Eukaryota; Metazoa; Chordata; Mammalia; Rodentia; Echimyidae.
AAGAGGGACAUAGAGGUUAUGAAGCUGGCUUGAAACUAGUUUUUGAGGGUUCAAUUCCUUCCUCUCUUG